Molecule: ribosomal RNA, 441 nt
Filed under: uncultured bacterium
Lineage: Bacteria
Description: partial 16S ribosomal RNA
Rfam family: Bacterial small subunit ribosomal RNA
Source: RNAcentral
CCUACGGGAGACAGCAGUGGGGGAUAUUGCACAAUGGGGGAAACCCUGAUGCAGCGACGCCGCGUGUGGGAAGACGGUCCUCUGGAUUGUAAACCACUGUCCCCAGGGACGAAGAUGACGGUACCUGGGGAGGAAGCCCCGGCUAACUACGUGCCAGCAGCCGCGGUAAUACGUAGGGGGCAAGCGUUAUCCGGAUUUACUGGGUGUAAAGGGAACGUAGACGGCUGUGCAAGUCUGAAGUGAAAGCCCAGGGCUCAACCCUGGGACUGCCGUGGAAACUGUGGAGCUAGAGUGCUGGAGAGGUAAGUGGAAUUCCUAGUGUAGCGGUGAAAUGCGUAGAUAUUAGGAGGAACACCAGUGGCGAAGGCGGCUUACUGGACAGUAACUGACGUUGAGGCUCGAAAGCGUGGGGAGCAAACAGGAUUAGAUACCCUGGUAGUC